This 495-nucleotide ribosomal RNA is filed under the name uncultured bacterium. RNAcentral's name for it is "bacterial SSU rRNA". It matches the Rfam family "Bacterial small subunit ribosomal RNA", at positions 16 to 507 of the family's 1533-position model. The record is from RNAcentral.
AUCCUGGCUGAGAUUGAACGCUGGCGGCAUGCCUUACACAUGCAAGUCGAACGGCAGCACGGACUUCGGUCUGGUGGCGAGUGGCGAACGGGUGAGUAAUGCAUCGGAACGUGCCAUUGAGUGGGGAUAACGUAGCGAAAGUUGCGCUAAUACCGCAUAUUCUGUGAGCAGGAAAGCAGGGGACCGCAAGGCCUUGCGCUCUUUGAGCGGCCGAUGUCAGAUUAGCUAGUUGGUGAGGUAAAGGCUUACCAAGGCGACGAUCUGUAGCGGGUCUGAGAGGAUGAUCCGCCACACUGGAACUGAGACACGGUCCAGACUCCUACGGGAGGCAGCAGUGGGGAAUUUUGGACAAUGGGGGCAACCCUGAUCCAGCCAUGCCGCGUGAGUGAAGAAGGCCUUCGGGUUGUAAAGCUCUUUCGGCCGGGAAGAAAUCGCAUGGGCCAAUACCCUGUGUGGAUGACGGUACCGGAAUAAGAAGCACCGGCUAACUACGUG